ACACAUGUAGCAUAACGGUAAUGCACCUCCCUGUUAAGGAGCCCCAUCAUGGUUCAAAUCCAUGCGUGUGUGCCA
Molecule: transfer RNA, 75 nt
Filed under: Verrucomicrobiales bacterium
Lineage: Bacteria; Pseudomonadati; Verrucomicrobiota; Verrucomicrobiia; Verrucomicrobiales
Also listed under: 1 other name
Description: tRNA-Asn
Rfam family: tRNA
About the family: Transfer RNA (tRNA) molecules are approximately 80 nucleotides in length.
Source: RNAcentral